This is a long non-coding RNA of Megalobrama amblycephala (Wuchang bream), 3069 nucleotides long. RefSeq lists it as uncharacterized. NCBI's taxonomy places the organism in Eukaryota, Metazoa, Chordata, Actinopteri, Cypriniformes, Xenocyprididae. The record is from RefSeq and is a predicted model, not a curated record. The transcript is spliced from 4 exons.
CUUUCUGAAAUACUCAAUUCUGAUUGGUCAAUCGCAACAUUCAGUGGUCAGAUUUCCUAAUGUCGUCUAUCCUUUACAAAAAUUAACCAUGGUUUUAUUAUAGUAAAAGUGUAACCAUGUUUUCUUAGUGGAUUGAAUACCAUUUGUAUAUUCACCAGUUUUACUACAAAUAUCAUGGUUAAGCUAUGGUUAGUGUAGCAAAACCAUGGUUAAUUUGUUGUUACCAUUGUUUAAUAACCAUGUUUUUUUUUGUUUGUUUUUUUGCUUUUAUUUAGUUUUAUGUUGUAAAAUCAUGGUUCAUUUUCAUAAGGGACAGCAAAGCUGAUGUUGAUGAUGUAGUAAGAGAACACAAGGAUGCAAGAUGGCUUAUUGGUACGUUCAAGUUCAUAUUUACCAGGUGGGAAGUUGUGUUUACGACAUCAGGUGCAUUCAAGUAACCAAGAUGGCGAUGUACCCUAUCUUCAUUAAUAACUACACAAAAAUACAGCAAGGUUUUUUAAAUCUAGAAGAACAAAUAAUGUGCAUCAGGUGUGUUUUGCUUUUUGAUGUUUUUAAUUAAUUUCUGAAGCUACUGUAAACCUUAUCAUUACAUAUUGUUAUAUUACAAUGCUAUAUUUUGUGCAGGGAAUUCGCUUAUUUUGUUCUAAAUAAAAAAGCCUGACAAUUUCACAACUAAAUAUUGCAAUAUGACACGCCCCCAACUCGUACCGAAAAUCCCGAGCUUCCCACUGGUAUUUACGACUUUGUGGCGACGUUCGUGCAUGUUUAACUCGUAAAUCUUUUCGACAUGACCAUAAGAACGCAUAUUGAGAAAAGGCCAUGAAGAUCAGUCCAAAAUGGUGUAGCCUACUAAAAAAAUAAUGGCACUACUUUCAUGUCGUAUCACACCGCUAACUCGCGCGCUCUCUCGUUUCAAACACAACGGGUGCCAUCUUGCCUCAGCUAUCGGUUGACCUCAGAGAAAUAAUAUAAUAUCUUUGUACACCGAUUCGUUUACAUUGUGAUGGAUUUUUUUCCUCAGCGAAGCUUUGAGACAAAAACGCAGAGCAGCCAAGACACAGAAGAAAGAAACUUAUACAAGUUUGAAACAAAAUGAGGCAGACAAGAACAGACAAAGAAAGAGAGACUCUGAGAGAGAUAAGCAAAUGUAAGAAUGUGUACCUUCAGGGAAACCUUUGGGGAUCAGAAAUGGAAAGGAAACCACUCAACAAAAGGAAACAGAGAAGAAGAGCCAUACAACUGAACUGUGAUUAAAGCGUCUGUUUAACACAGGCACGACGGCCGCAGACGCUGGUGACGCACUCCUGACCUCUCAAGACCCCGUGAUUGACAGGUAAUCUCAGGACACACAGGGAGGAGCCCAUAGAGAGCAGAAACAAGAGAACGUCAGUCUGACAGAGAGAAAGAGAAGAUGGGAAGAUAGAAGAGUGUUUUGCAGUGCUGCCAGCAAUGACUCAAAGGUUAAAAUAAGCUGGUGUUGAAAUGAAAAGAUCAUUUCCCCAAGGGUUUUGUUCACAGCAAAGAGCUAAGGAACCAUGCACACACACAUACAUACACUAUCAUAUAAAGACAAACAGCUUUAAUAACUCAGUAAGUGUGUAUUGAUUAUACAGGCGCCAUGUCACUGAGAAACUUCCUUGUUCUGAUUUAAAAUCAAUAAGUAAGCUGAACACAUUUUGCAGUGUUCUUGUUGUUGAAGUAACAAAUGUGGGCGGGAACAUCAGUGGGACUAACGCAGGUGUCAGUCAACAAAGCCCCUAGCAACACCAGCUGUCAACAUCUGGACCCACGGCAACCGUGCUUGUUCAAUGCCUGGCAACAGCAUUUGAGCAACAACUUCCAAUCAAUGAGAGCAUUUAAUUAUUUCUCAUCUGAGCUUAAUUUACUCACAGACAAAAUUAACAUGAUCAACUUUUUUUACAAAAUGAUUGACUUCAUUGCAACUUUCUACAACAGUCUAUCGUUCUUAGCUGACAUUAGGAUUAAUUUUAUUUACACAAGUGAAAAAUGAGUCAUAAUUACUUGCAUUUAUUUAAUGUGUAAUUCUAUCUAUCUAUCUAUCUAUGUCUAUCUUUAUUUUUGUUAUUGUUUGUGCAAUUGUGUUUGUUCAUGUAUGAGAGAAAGAGAGUAAUUUGAUUUCUCCCCCCUGCAUACUCUGGGUAAAAGCUUCUUCUUUGUGUGUGUGUGUGUGUGUGUGUGUGUGUGUGUGUGUGUGUGUGUGUAUGGAUGCUAAAAAUACUCCCAACCGGUGAGUCAUCGACCAUUGCACCAAUCGGUCUUUUCAAGCGUGUCCGUUCUGGCACUAUCUGUGCCCACACACACACAACAUAAGCCUUUUCAUGUAAAUCCAGCUUAACAGAAUGUUGCUCACAUAUAUUUAGAAAGCCUUUGGCACAAAGCAAAAUAAAGAUGUUACCUGAAUUGAGAUUUACACAAUAAAGUUUGGAGUUGUUUACAAACCCCUGACCUCUAAACAGUGCCUCUGGUCUCCUGCCAGCUCCAUCAGGAUGAUUUCAGCACAGCUCCUGAUCUGAACAGCAGUGUUACUGCAAGACAAUCUGUGUGGUGGAAAAUCAGUCCUAAACAAUGUCCUAAAGUUUUCAGUGACAGGUAAUAUGUGUUUCUACACUCGAAGUGAAAAUGCUCAGAAAAUAUUUUAUUUUUACUCUAUACUAUACUUAAGUAUUUACUAUACUUCAACUGGAUCAUUGAGAUUCCACUAUAGGCCGGGCUACAGCAUCCUCACUUACAGUAAUUAAAACGAUAGUUUACCAUUUCAACAAGUCAUUUCAACCCUGUAUGAUUUUCUUUUCUUCUGCUGAACACAAAAGAAAAGACUUUGAAGAAUGUUAUUGUCCAAUGCUUUUUUGGACCCAAUUGACUUCAAUUGUAUGUAUGAAAAGAUAUUAUUCAAAAUAUCUUCUUUUGUUCUCUACAAAAGAAAGACAUUUCUAGAGUUGGAACAACAUGCUGGUGAGUAAAUGUUGACAGAAUGAUCAUUUUUGGGUUAACUAUCACUUUAAUGUUGACCAAUUGAACAUAUUGUAAAGUUUUUGCGCAUUUUGCUUU